Molecule: long non-coding RNA, 3153 nt
Organism: Ceratitis capitata (Mediterranean fruit fly)
Lineage: Eukaryota; Metazoa; Arthropoda; Insecta; Diptera; Tephritidae
Exons: 3
Source: RefSeq, a predicted model, not a curated record
GGUUAAAGAGUGGGAAUACCAGAAAAGGAAGUGAAUGUGAGGUACCAGUAAAAGUAAAGGAAAAGUGAUUUAGAUGAAGUGAAUGAAUAUUUACGAGGUUAACGCGAAGAAAGUGGCUGGCAGGCGGUAUGUAAGCACGAAGACCGGCAACAGGCAGAAAGGACACAUUAACAUAUGACGGGUGUCAGCGGAGUCAUUUGGAAGACGUUGAGGAAAGCAUGCAGCCAUGUAUAUUUAGCUGUAUGUAGGUGGGUAAUCACAGACCUCUAAGAAACUAAAAGUAUUGUUAACUUGAAAGGGCUGACAGUGAAACAACAAGAAAAUAUGCAGAAAAUAAUGUUUCCCGAACUCAAAGGGAUGCCUGCCACAACAACAGCUGAAAAGCACAUAAGUAACAGAUAAAGAACCUCGAACUCCACCUGCCUUACAGCCUAAUUCUUUCCCUUCAAUUUUUAUUCCUUCGUAACUAACGGGCGCACGCGUGAGUCAUUGUCGUCACACCUUACCACUUCAACUCAAACUGUAGCCCUGAAAUCAGCUGAAAUGGAAGCAAUAAGGAAAAGAGAAGAGAAAACCCUUGGAAAAAUCAACAAAUAUGGCGAAUAUUAGCCAGAAAUGGGUAAAAGUUUCAUUUAUGAAAAAAAUUACAGCAACCAAAACAACAACAUGAACAAGUACAACAGCGUUGCAUGCGCACCCACCGAGUUUUCGAAAAUCCGAUAUAGUUAUAUGCCACACCUAACCCCGACUGUAAGAGGUCGCCUGCAGUGAGUAAUAUGGCAGUGGUCUAACAGAAAAUAACUGAAAACCAUUUUCAAUGAAGCCAACGAAAACUCUGAACUUUCAGUUAUUUCGGAAGAAGGGACUAUGUUUAGUGGCAAUAUCGAUGCGAGAAGAAAUUCAGCUUCAGCCUGAACUCAGUGCUGACUUUUUACCUGGUAGCUGGUCGCACCUAUGGUAAUACAACACCGAUGAAUCUAUAAAGUGGAGGUCGCUAUACACUAUUUUGUCCGCAAAGAGGUCAUGUUCUUCUUAGUUAUGGCAAAGAACAAAUACUCGCGCCUAGUCAUCCUCCAAUAAGUACUAGAUAAAUAAAACUGUGGAAGGCGUGAUAAUUUCUGGACUGCUGAUGCUUGCAGCGUGUCUGCGAGACUAAAGAUUCAUGGCAACAGCAGCUACCCAAGAAAACAUAGAGUGCAGUUGCCGGCUGCAGGCAGAGGACUGACCAGCAGACGAACUAGCGCAGGCAUAGACGUGUCUGCUGAGAGAACUUUUCAUUUCAUUAAAGUGUCAAACAGACUCACUUAUGUUUAGAUACUCCACUUCUUCUGCUUUGAACAGAGCUGUAGCUUUAUAAGAACCAAUUGACAUGCAUUUUGCAGUCGUCUCGCAAGUUCGCUGUUUACCUGCUCGCUUAUGAAUUUCUCUGCAAUCUCCGACAUACCAAAACAAACAAUGCUCUCUCUUGUCAUUUCAGCUUGAAUGCCGGACCGCUCUCUGAAAAUAAUAAAAACGAAAACACGCCGUUUUCGUAGAGACCGGCGCUGCAGAGAGCGCAUGUGCCCACCUUCGAGAGAGCUGUUUACUAUGUCAGCGCGGAAAUUUCCUGAGUUGAGUGGAUAUCUAUAAGACGUCGCACGACGGACGGUAUCACUGACCACGUUAACUUUCGUUAAGUAAACAAUUUUUGCAAAGCUAAAACAACAUUUUUGUUAACUGUAAUUCUACCUUGCCGCCUAACAGCCUGUGGUCGUUUUUAGUCGUAUUUCAACGUUCGCGUUUAACGGUAGACUAUAACGCUGGUGCUUAAAGUUGGCAGCAAGAAGUGUUCGACGUGAUAAGAAUCGAAAAACAGCAAAACACAUAGCAAAGGGAAACGAAAAAUUUGUGGUCUGAAACAGUUCCAUAAAAAUUAAAAAAUCGUAAGCAAAAGACUUGUGAAUAAGUGAAAACGCAAGUAAAAAAGGAUAAGCUUGUAAAAAAUGUCGACAUCUCAGUAUUAAUUAAAAAAUUAAAAUUUGUUGCGAAAUUGUAAAGCGCGCUGCUUUAGCGGCUUAGUAAAAACACAAGCAGAUACAAAUUACAAUUAAAUGACGCAAAAAAUUUAAUCCUCUUUAGCGCUCUCUACGCGUGUACCAGAUUGUGAAAAUAAAGUAUAAAAUACAGCUAGCCGACAUAAUUGCCACAGUUGAAAGCACACACUGCUACAACGCGCCUAGCCGUAAUCUGAGCUUGCGUUUGCGUUUAAGUUUUUUCCAGCACAACCUGACAUAACGAAGUGGACAGCCAAUAGUCCCGUGCGACUGUCACGCUUUGUUAUUAAUGAGUUUUCAAGAAACAAGCUCUCAUGCAUAAUGCGCGGCAAAGCGUUGCUAUUUAAUGCGCUUGGAUCGCCUGCUUGACGCGAAUGCGCUAUUUAUACCUCAUUAAGGUGUGAUAAAGCAUCGUUAUUUUCAUUUUUUGGCCGAAGUCUUUUAACAUCCUGCAAACAGUUAUUAACGCAUUGCACGCCAACUCUGGUGGAUAAUGAAAGGAAUAGAGGGGCGUUGAACAAUAUGAAAUACAAUACCGCCGCGUCGCGCGCUCAAAUCGAAAUGUUUCUCAGCUACUAUGUCAACGUACAUACCUGCUUGCAGUCAGCGCUGGUCACACAGAAAGCGUGCGCUCAAAUCCGGAGUGUGAUUGGUAGUGCAAAUAAAGGUAUGGCAAAAUCACAGAAGUCAAUGUGUUUAAAAGCAAGUGAAAAAAAAUACCCCAGGUGACAAUUAUAAUGACUGCAUUGAAAAACAUUUAUUAAGUGCAACUCAGAGCACGGCGCGUAUUCAAGCCAUAGCUUUCAUGCGCGCAACUAUUACUAUACAAUGCAUUGCUACAUUACUCACCUCAGAAAGCUUCACAAGUACCCUUUGUGUCGAGGUAAAUUUAUAUCGCGCUUCAAACAAACCACCUUAUAUCUGCGCUGAUGCUUAGAGAGACUGUUUUUGUCGCAAGUCUAAGAAAGUAAACUUGAAAAAAUCGUGAGUAAUAAGGAAAACAGAUCGAAAAAGGACUCCAGGCCAUGUCAAAUACCUACAAAACAAGCUGUGUAAAAUUUUUUUAUAAAGGCAAUUUUUGGUAUGCAAAUGUUUCCAAAUACAAACCUAGAAAGAGAAG